Molecule: ribosomal RNA, 399 nt
Filed under: Triticum aestivum (bread wheat)
Lineage: Eukaryota; Viridiplantae; Streptophyta; Magnoliopsida; Poales; Poaceae
Description: partial small subunit ribosomal RNA
Source: RNAcentral
CCGGUACUGCUAGUCCGCAAGGCCGACGGGUCCUGGCGCUUCUGCAUCGACUACCGCGCCCUGAACGCCAUUACCGUCAAGAAUGCGUUUCCGAUCCCGGUGGUGGACGAACUCCUCGACGAGCUCCGGCACGCUCGUUUCUUCACCAAGCUCGACUUGCGCUCCGGCUACCACCAGGUGCGGAUGCGUGCGGAGGACAUCCCGAAGACCGCCUUCCGUACUCACGACGGCCUCUACGAGUUCCUGGUGAUGCCGUUCGGCCUCUGCAACGCGCCGGCGACGUUCCAGGCCCUCAUGAACGAUCUGCUACGGCCGUUCCUGCGCCGCUUUGUUCUCGUCUUCUUUGACGACAUCCUCAUUUUCAGCGAGACGUGGGCUGACCAUCUCCGACAUGUGCGC